GACGAACGCUGGCGGCGUGCUUAACACAUGCCAGUCGAACGGAAAGGCCCUGCUUUUGUGGGGUGCUCGAGUGGCGAACGGGUGAGUAACACGUGAGUAACCUGCCCUUGACUUUGGGAUAACUUCAGGAAACUGGGGCUACUACCGGAUAGGAGCUCCUGCUGCAUGGUGGGGGUUGGAAAGUUUCGGCGGUUGGGGAUGGACUCGCGGCUUAUCAGCUUGUUGGUGGGGUAGUGGCUUACCAAGGCUUUGACGGGUAGCCGGCCUGAGAGGGUGACCGGCCACAUUGGGACUGAGAUACGGCCCAGACUCCUACGGGAGGCAGCAGUGGGGAAUAUUGCACAAUGGGCGGAAGCCUGAUGCAGCAACGCCGCGUGCGGGAUGACGGCCUUCGGGUUGUAAACCGCUUUCGCCUGUGACGAAGCGUGAGUGACGGUAAUGGGUAAAGAAGCACCGGCUAACUACGUG
This 468-nucleotide ribosomal RNA is filed under the name uncultured bacterium. RNAcentral's name for it is "partial 16S ribosomal RNA". It matches the Rfam family "Bacterial small subunit ribosomal RNA", at positions 28 to 507 of the family's 1533-position model. The record is from RNAcentral.